CCUACGGGAGGCAGCAGUGGGGAAUAUUGCACAAUGGGGGAAACCCUGAUCCAGCGACGCCGCGUGAGUGAAGAAGUAUCUCGGUACGUAAAGCUCUAUCAGCAGGGAAGAAAAUGACGGUACCUGACUAAGAAGCCCCGGCUAACUACGUGCCAACAGCCGCGGUAAUAUGUAGGGGGCAAGCGUAAUCCGGAUGUACUGGGGGUAAAGGGAGCGUAGACGGCAGCACAAGUCUGGAGUGAAAGCCCGGGGCUUAAACCCGGAACUGCUUUGGAAACUGUGCGGCUGGAGUGCAGGAGGGGUAAGCGGAAUGCCUAGUGUAGCGGUGAAAUGCAUAGAUAUUAGGAGGAACACCGGUGGCGAAGGCGGCUUACUGGACUGUAACUGACGUUGAGGCUCGAAAGCGUGGGUAGCAAACAGGAUUAGAUACCCGAGUAGUC
RNAcentral lists this ribosomal RNA (440 nucleotides) under uncultured bacterium. Its description in RNAcentral is "partial 16S ribosomal RNA". It matches the Rfam family "Bacterial small subunit ribosomal RNA", at positions 338 to 795 of the family's 1533-position model. The record is from RNAcentral.